Molecule: long non-coding RNA, 1281 nt
Organism: Esox lucius (northern pike)
Lineage: Eukaryota; Metazoa; Chordata; Actinopteri; Esociformes; Esocidae
Source: Ensembl
GAAAACUGACGCAAAUCUGUCUGCAAGGAGGAUAUAUCCUGCAACCGGCUUUGUUUACAAACUGUAGCCCACUCUUGCUAGUAUAAACUACUAGCGCACACAAAAAUGACAGCAAAUUGUAUAAACUGCUAGUAAAUCUGUCUGCCAGGAGGAUUUAUCUGGCAACCGGCUUUGUUUACAAAACUGUAGCUCAGGUUGGCUAGUAUAGACUACUAACACAAAGACAAAUGCUAACAAGUUGUAUUAGCUGCUGGUAAACUGACGCAAAUCUGUCUGCAAGGAGGCUUUAUCCAGCAACCGGUUUUGUUUACAAAACUGUAGCUCAUGUUAGGAGUGGGAUUAAUUACUACCUAACGCCAUCAAGAGCCUUCAUGUGUCUGUGAAUGAGGCUGAAUCGGCGUGUGCAACAGUCGGCAUUGACUUUCAAGCUCUUAUCUGCCGGGCAGUUUUAGAAACCUACCACAUCCCCAAAGAAACUGGAAGAAGAGGCAGAGGCUGGAGGGACUAAACUCUCAAUUCUGGCAUGUAGGUUUUUCAGCCCCAUGAUGGCUCCCUUGACUUUCCUUGUUGGUCCUGAUGUUGACAAACACCAACUGGAACCUCCAAAGAGAAACUCAAAGCCUAGAAUCAGGACUAUACAUGGACAUCUCUCUUAUGACUGGAUAAAUAAUGAGAACACAACCAAACAGAAGAAUCUAUGAAGCCAACUUUCCCAAUACUUUUGAGAUCACCUGAAAUCGGGGGACUAUGCAUAGAAAUUGUCAUAUCUGAAUGAAAAAUCCAACCUUUAUAGUACGCAGAAAUGUGCCCAUUCCCAAUAAUUACACAGGGCAUUGUAAGAACCAGGCAAAUAACUAUUUGAAUCAGUGAAGCAGCUACUAACUAACUAGUAUAUUGACAGGUAAUUACAGCCUUCUUACAUUCUGGAACAUAAUUCAGCGGAUAUAAAAUAAUUAUAGGUAUUUCUGCAUUUCUACCAGGUUGUCGCAGUCAUAUUUCACUUCAGUUUCCUAGAACCUGUUAUUUUAGCCCUGGAAACUGUACUGUAUUAGCACAAUAUUUUAGGUUCACACACCAAUGACACAAUUCCUGAUAUAUUACAUGACAUUCUUGUUUUUUAAUUCACAAAUAAAUACAGCAUCACGCAUCACCUAUUUUCUUGACAUAGCUCUUUAAGAAGAUAUUUAGUUUAUGCUCUUAAUUCACUGCACUACAGCUUACAGUUUCUACAGAUAAUAGUUAAAGCAAAGCCAUGUCAAUCUAUUCAAUUUAAAAUGCCAG